CCAAGGAUGUUUUCAUUAAUCAAGAACGAAAGUUGGGGGCUCGAAGACGAUUAGAUACCGUCGUAGUCUCAACCAUAAACGAUGCCGACUAGGGAUUGGCAGGUGUUUUAUUGAUGACCCUGCCAGCACCUUAUGAGAAAUCAAAGUUUUUGGGUUCCGGGGGGAGUAUGGUCGCAAGGCUGAAACUUAAAGGAAUUGACGGAAGGGCACCACCA
Molecule: ribosomal RNA, 215 nt
Filed under: Blepharisma japonicum
Lineage: Eukaryota; Ciliophora; Heterotrichea; Heterotrichida; Blepharismidae
Description: partial Eukaryotic small subunit ribosomal RNA
Rfam family: Eukaryotic small subunit ribosomal RNA
Source: RNAcentral